Molecule: transfer RNA, 73 nt
Filed under: Schistocerca americana (American grasshopper)
Lineage: Eukaryota; Metazoa; Arthropoda; Insecta; Orthoptera; Acrididae
Also listed under: 1 other name
Description: tRNA-Ala
Rfam family: tRNA
About the family: Transfer RNA (tRNA) molecules are approximately 80 nucleotides in length. Their secondary structure includes four short double-helical elements and three loops (D, anti-codon, and T loops).
Source: RNAcentral
GGGGGCGUAGCUCAGUUGGUAGAGCGUUCGCUUUGCAUAUGAAAGGUCCCGGGUUCAAGCCCCGGCGCCUCCA